RNAcentral lists this ribosomal RNA (116 nucleotides) under Pogona vitticeps (central bearded dragon). Lineage: Eukaryota; Metazoa; Chordata; Lepidosauria; Squamata; Agamidae. The record is from RNAcentral.
AAUACCCUCCUCAUGCACACAGCCAAACAUAACUGAUGUCACUUGAUUUUGGAAGUUAAGCAGAGCUGGGCCUGGCUAGUACUUCAAUGGGAGGCCAUCAAGGAAUAUCAAGAUUU